This 3609-nucleotide ribosomal RNA is filed under the name Triticum aestivum (bread wheat). Its description in RNAcentral is "partial small subunit ribosomal RNA". Lineage: Eukaryota; Viridiplantae; Streptophyta; Magnoliopsida; Poales; Poaceae. The record is from RNAcentral.
AUGGGCCGGAUAGCCCGUGUGCCCGCACCGUGGUCUGCACGGAACCGCCUCUGCAACGGUAAUCUUCGCACCGCACCGCGUUGCCGACCGACCGACCGACCCCUCGCCCUGCCCACCCGGUCCGCAUCAAGACCCAACCCACCACCACCAGCUCCACUCCCCUCCUGUUUCCGCCGCCCGCCCAAGCCGCCUCCGGCAAGGACCUGGCCGGCGCCACCGCCCCUUCCCCGGCGGCCCGCCCACGGCCAGGCGCGCCUUGUCCUCCCUCCCUGCGCUCUGGCCAUGGCCCGCCGGUGUGCUCCUCCUCCCUUCGUCCGGGGCCCCGGGUCGUGCCUCCCGCCUCGCCUCGCCUCCUCGCGCCUGGUUUGGAUUCGCUCGUCCUCGAUUCGCCGCCCGUUUAGAGUUGCCGUCCGGUUCGAUUUUGCUCGUCGCCGUCAUCCGUGUGGAAUCGCGUACGCUUCGAUUUUGCUCGUCCUCGCCGUCGUCUGUGGAGUAGCGUCCGAUUCGAUUUUGCUCGUCUUCGUCGUCGUCCGUGUCGAGUCGCGUCCGGUUCGAUUUCGCUCGUCCUCGCCGUUGUCCCGAUGCGCUCGCGUGGUCCGUCUCGCCUCGUCGGGGGUGGAUUACGGCCGGAGACGGGGAGCGAUGUUCGUUUAUCGUGCUAGUUCAGACCGGUACAGACUUGUGGAUCUGGACAUGUCAAAUUUGCUCUUUAUUGGGUUGCUAAGGACACUGAACAGUUUGGCUGGGCCACUGCACGGCCUGGCUAAUCAGGUUGUUCCUGGCUAUGGUCAUGGAGUUCUACGUAAUACAGACCCAAGAUACUCGUGCCAAAGGGGGUUUACAUUGAAAUAUUUACCCGACCCAAGAUACUCAUGCCGAAGGGAGUUCACAUUGAAAUAUUUACCCGAGGACCCACUUUUCCAACUGGUACAGCCAUGUAGAUCUAGACAUGAUGCUAAUGGGUUGGGUUUGCAUAUAAUGCAGUAUGGACCAACAAAAUGGUCUCAUUGCAAGGUGGACACACUGAGAGAAGCUUGGACUAUUGAGGAGGAACAUGCACUGAUUAAUGCCCAUAGGGUAUAUGGGAAUAGAUGGGAAGAAAUAGCAAAAGUUUUUCCUAGAAGGAAUCGGGUACUUCUAUUUGUUCUUAGGUUCUUCUCACCUAUAGCUAAAGUCAAAGACGACAAAACCAAGUGGAUUAUUGGAGUUACAAGAUACACAAAAUCAUCGGAACGAAGAUCUGAAUCACCCUCCCGCCUCGAGAGAAAUCAGUUUAGUCAUUCAGGUUCUGAUCUAGACAUGAUGCUGAUGGGUUGGCUUUGCAUACAAUGCAGUAUGGACCAACAAAAUGGUCUCAUUGCAAGGUGGACAUAUAGGCAAGAAAUGUCAAGAGAGAGAGAAGCUUGGACUAUUGAGGAGGAAUCUGCACUGAUUAAUGCCCAUCGGGUAUAUGGGAAUAGAUGGGCAGAAAUAGCAGAAGUUCUUCCUAGAAGGAAUCGGAUACUUCUAUUUGUUCUUAGGUUCUUCUCACCUAUAGCUAAAGUCAAAGACGACAAAACCAAGUGGAUUAUUGUUGAUACAAGAUACACAAAAUCAUCGGAACGAAGAUCUGAAUCACCCUCCCGCCUCGAGAGAAAUCAGUUUAGUCAUUCAGGUUCUGAUCUAGACAUGAUGCUGAUGGGUUGGCUUUGCAUACAAUGCAGUAUGGACCAACAAAAUGGUCUCAUUGCAAGGUGGACAUAUAGGCAAGAAAUGUCAAGAGAGAGAGAAGCUUGGACUAUUGAGGAGGAAUCUGCACUGAUUAAUGCCCAUCGGGUAUAUGGGAAUAGAUGGGCAGAAAUAGCAGAAGUUCUUCCUAGAAGGAAUCGGAUACUUCUAUUUGUUCUUAGGUUCUUCUCACCUAUAGCUAAAGUCAAAGACGACAAAACCAAGUGGAUUAUUGUUGUUACAAGAUACACAAAAUCAUCGGAACGAAGAUCUGAAUCACCCUCCCGCCUCGAGAGAAAUCAGUUUAGUCAUUCAGGUUCUGAUCUAGACAUGAUGCUGAUGGGUUGGCUUUGCAUACAAUGCAGUAUGGACCAACAAAAUGGUCUCAUUGCAAGGUGGACAUAUAGGCAAGAAAUGUCAAGAGAGAGAGAAGCUUGGACUAUUGAGGAGGAAUCUGCACUGAUUAAUGCCCAUCGGGUAUAUGGGAAUAGAUGGGCAGAAAUAGCAGAAGUUCUUCCUAGAAGGAAUCGGGUACUUCUAUUUGUUCUUAGGUUCUUCUCACCUAUAGCUAAAGUCAAAGACGACAAAACCAAGUGGAUUAUUGUUGUUACAAGAUACACAAAAUCAUCGAUUUUCUAUAAGAAUUUUGCUCAUGGUACAUGCCUUGCUUUCUCUAAAGCUUGGACUAUUGAGGAGGAACAUGCACUGAUUAAUGCCCAUCGGGUAUAUGGGAAUAGAUGGGCAGAAAUAGCAAAAGUUCUUCCUAGAAGAAAUCGGGUACUUCUAUUUGUUCUUAGGUUCUUCUCACCUAUAGCUAAAGUCAAAGACGACAAAACCAAGUGGAUUAUUGGAGUUACAAGAUACACAAAAUCAUCGUAUGGACCAACAAAAUGGUCUCAUUGCAAGGUGGACACACUGAGAGAAGCUUGGACUAUUGAGGAGGAACAUGCACUGAUUAAUGCCCAUCGGGUAUAUGGGAAUAGAUGGGCAGAAAUAGCAAAAGUUCUUCCUAGAAGGAAUCGGGUACUUCUAUUUGUUCUUAGGUUCUUCUCACCUAUAGCUAAAGUCAAAGACGACAAAACCAAGUGGAUUAUUGGAGUUACAAGAUACACAAAAUCAUCGGAACGAAGAUCUGAAUCACCCUCCCGCCUCGAGAGAAAUCAGUUUGGUCAUUCAUGUUCUGUAUGGACCAACAAAAUGGUCUCAUUGCAAGGUGGACAUAUAGGCAAGAAAUGUCAAGAGAGCUUCUUGUCACCUAUAGCUAAAAUCAAAGACGACAAAACCAAGUGGAUUAUUGGAGUUACAAGAUACACAAAAUCAUCGGAACGAAGAUCUGAAUCACCCUCCCGCCUCGAGAGAAAUCAGUUUAGUCAUUCAGGUUCUGUAUGGACCAACAAAAUGGUCUCAUUGCAAGGUGGACAUAUAGGCAAGAAAUGUCAAGAGAGCUUCUUGUCACCUAUAGCUAAAAUCAAAGACGUCAAAACCAAGUGGAUUAUUGGAGUUACAAGAUACACAAAAUCAUCGGAACGAAGAUCUGAAUCACCCUCCCGCCUCGAGAGAAAUCAGUUUAGUCAUUCAGGUUCUGAUCUAGACAUGAUGCUGAUGGGUUGGGUUUGCAUACAAUGCAGUAUGGACCAACAAAAUGGUCUCAUUGCAAGGUGGACAUAUGGGCAAGAAAUGUCAAGAGAGAGAGAAGCUUGGACUAUUGAGGAGGAACAUGCACUGAUUAAUGCCCAUCGGGUAUAUGAGAAUAGAUGGGCAGAAAUAGCAAAAGUUCUUCCUAGAAGGAAUCGGGUACUUCUAUUUGUUCUUAGGUUUUUCUCACCUAUAGCUAAAGUCAAAGACGGCAACACCAAGUGGAUUAUUGGAGUUACAAGAUACACAAAAUCAUCGGUCAUCUAA